RNAcentral lists this ribosomal RNA (117 nucleotides) under Oscillospiraceae bacterium. Lineage: Bacteria; Bacillati; Bacillota; Clostridia; Eubacteriales; Oscillospiraceae. The record is from RNAcentral.
GUCGGUGUCUAUAAAGAUGAGGACACACCUGUUUCCAUUCCGAACACAGUAGUUAAGCUCAUCGUUGCCUACGAUACUUGGCGGGCGACUGCCCGGGAAAAUUGGUAAACGCCGGCA